CGAAAGCCUGACGGAGCAAGACCGCGUGAGGGAGGAAGGCUCUUGGGUUGUAAACCUCUUUUCUCAGGGAAGAAGCUCUGACGGUACCUGAGGAAUCAGCCUCGGCUAACUCCGUGCCAGCAGCCGCGGUAAUACGGAGGAUGCAAGCGUUAUCCGGAUUUAUUGGGCGUAAAGCGUCCGCAGGCGGCUAGAUAAGUCCGCUUUUAAAGAAUGGGGCUCAACCCCGUAUAGGGAGUGGAAACUGUUUAGCUAGAGUAUGGUAGGGGCAGAGGGAAUUCCCAGUGUAGCGGUGAAAUGCGUAGAUAUUGGGAAGAACACCAGUGGCGAAGGCGCUCUGCUGGACCAAAACUGACGCUGAUGGACGAAAGCUAGGGGAGCG
RNAcentral lists this ribosomal RNA (379 nucleotides) under uncultured cyanobacterium. RNAcentral's name for it is "bacterial SSU rRNA". It matches the Rfam family "Bacterial small subunit ribosomal RNA", at positions 376 to 770 of the family's 1533-position model. Lineage: Bacteria; Bacillati; Cyanobacteriota. The record is from RNAcentral.